GGAUAUGAGGGUGAUCUGGCUGCCACAUCUGUCACCCCAUUGAUCACCAGGGUUGAUCUGGCUGGCUAGGCAGGUGUCCCCUUCCUCCCUCACCAUUCCAUGUGUGUCCCUCCCAAAGCUGAGCUCUGGGUCGAGGAGGAUGACCUUCCACGAAUAGAGGAGGACUGGUCUUUGGUCAAGGUUAUAUGAGUAGCUGCGCUCCCCUGCUAGAACCUCCAAACAAGAUCUCAAUAUAUAAAUGAUCAAAUUAUUAAAUUUAGUUGUCGUGGUGGUUUGAAUGAGAAUGAGAAUGCCUCUGAUAGGCUCAGAUGUUU
Cricetulus griseus (Chinese hamster) is the source of this 314-nucleotide unclassified non-coding RNA. Its record names the gene 7SK. It matches the Rfam family "7SK RNA". From Rfam's summary of the family: 7SK was discovered as an abundant small nuclear RNA in the mid-70s but a possible function has only recently been suggested. Two independent studies have found that 7SK RNA binds the CDK9/cyclin T complex (known as elongation factor P-TEFb). The record is from Ensembl. NCBI's taxonomy places the organism in Eukaryota, Metazoa, Chordata, Mammalia, Rodentia, Cricetidae.